This 398-nucleotide ribosomal RNA is filed under the name uncultured bacterium. RNAcentral describes it as "bacterial SSU rRNA". It matches the Rfam family "Bacterial small subunit ribosomal RNA", at positions 30 to 431 of the family's 1533-position model. The record is from RNAcentral.
AUUGAACGCUGGCGGCAUGCCUUACACAUGCAAGUCGAGCGGCAGCACGGGGGCAACCUGGUGGCGAGUGGCGAACGGGUGAGUAAUGCAUCGGAACGUGCCAUUGAGUGGGGGAUAACGUAGCGAAAGUUGCGCUAAUACCGCAUAUUCUGUGAGCAGGAAAGCAGGGGACCGCAAGGCCUUGCGCUCUUUGAGCGGCCGAUGUCAGAUUAGCUAGUUGGUGAGGUAACGGCUUACCAAGGCGACGAUCUGUAGCGGGUCUGAGAGGAUGAUCCGCCACACUGGAACUGAGACACGGUCCAGACUCCUACGGGAGGCAGCAGUGGGGAAUUUUGGACAAUGGGCGCAAGCCUGAUCCAGCCAUGCCGCGUGAGUGAAGAAGGCCUCGGUUGUAAGAC